CAUCACCAAGAUCUGAACCUUCAUUCUCUAUCAAUACCGGAUUCCAGGUAACAAACAGAUCUCUGAACUUCUUAUCUUUUUUCUCAGCUUUGCGGAUUUUCUUCAUAUCUGACCGGGAGAGCUUAGUAUCCUGCACUUGAACAGCUUCUGCAUUCCUACCAGAGAAGCAGGGCUCUUCUUUUGAGGAAGAGGUCCUGAUCUCCUGCUGCUUGAUAGAAGGCAAGUCCUUGGGUUUUUGAAGAACAGUAGGCCGGGCAGCUUCUGGUAGGCGAACAACAGAUCCGGUUUCCUUAUGUAAUACCUUCGGUAACGGAGGAUCAACUUUCUGCGACACCAUGGAAGCUGGAUGGUGAACUCUCUGUGACAUCAUCUUAACAGGUGGAGGAUCAAAUCUUCUCAUAACUCUAGCAGGCGAAGGGUCCACACUUCCCGAAAACUUCAGAGGUAGGCCCGAUCUUCCAACUGGCACCUUAACAGCUGACUGGGGAUCAACAGGAUGUGUGUCCUUAGCUGCAGGCUGGGGGACAAGUCUAUGCAUGGUCUUUGCCGGGGAUUCUGUAAUCAAACAUUUUUGUACUGCUUGGGAGUCACCAUUGACCCUCCGCUGACCAGAGGUAGAUCUCACAUUCAUCUUAUGAUGGCUUGAAUUUUGCUUGCCAGACAGGGAUGAACCUGAUCCCAUUUGUUGGACCAAUGGUUGCUCAAG
RNAcentral lists this long non-coding RNA (706 nucleotides) under Zea mays. RNAcentral describes it as "long non-coding RNA (ZMAY_LNC005655)". Lineage: Eukaryota; Viridiplantae; Streptophyta; Magnoliopsida; Poales; Poaceae. The record is from RNAcentral.